RNAcentral lists this ribosomal RNA (1350 nucleotides) under uncultured bacterium. RNAcentral describes it as "bacterial SSU rRNA". It matches the Rfam family "Bacterial small subunit ribosomal RNA", at positions 18 to 1390 of the family's 1533-position model. The record is from RNAcentral.
CCUGGCUCAGGACGAACGCUGGCGGCGCGCCUAACACAUGCAAGUCGAACGAGCGAGAGAGAGCUUGCUUUCUCGAGCGAGUGGCGAACGGGUGAGUAACGCGUGAGGAACCUGCCUCAAAGAAGGGGACAACAGUUGGAAACGACUGCUAAUACCGCAUAAGCCCACGGGUCGGCAUCGACCAGAGGGAAAAGGAGCAAUCCGCUUUGAGAUGGCCUCGCGUCCGAUUAGCUGGUUGGUGAGGUAACGGCCCACCAAGGCAACGAUCGGUAGCCGGACUGAGAGGUUGAACGGCCACAUUGGGACUGAGACACGGCCCAGACUCCUACGGGAGGCAGCAGUGGGGAAUAUUGCACAAUGGGGGAAACCCUGAUGCAGCGACGCCGCGUGGAGGAAGAAGGUCUUCGGAUUGUAAACUCCUGUUGUUGAGGAAGAUAAUGACGGUACUCAACAAGGAAGUGACGGCUAACUACGUGCCAGCAGCCGCGGUAAAACGUAGGUCACAAGCGUUGUCCGGAAUUACUGGGUGUAAAGGGAGCGCAGGCGGGAAGACAAGUUGGAAGUGAAAUCCAUGGGCUCAACCCAUGAACUGCUUUCAAAACUGUUUUUCUCGAGUAGUGCAGAGGUAGGCGGAAUUCCCGGUGUAGCGGUGGAAUGCGUAGAUAUCGGGAGGAACACCAGUGGCAAAGGCGGCCUACUGGGCACCAACUGACGCUGAGGCUCGAAAGUGUGGGUAGCAAACAGGAUUAGAUACCCUGGUAGUCCACACCGUAAACGAUGAUUACUAGGUGUUGGAGGAUUGACCCCUUCAGUGCCGCAGUUAACACAAUAAGUAAUCCACCUGGGGAGUACGACCGCAAGGUUGAAACUCAAAGGAAUUGACGGGGGCCCGCACAAGCAGUGGAGUAUGUGGUUUAAUUCGACGCAACGCGAAGAACCUUACCAAGUCUUGACAUCCUGCGAAGGCGUAGAAAUACGUUUUUCCUUCGGGACGCAGAGACAGGUGGUGCAUGGUUGUCGUCAGCUCGUGUCGUGAGAUGUUGGGUUAAGUCCCGCAACGAGCGCAACCCUUAUGGUCAGUUACUACGCAAGAGGACUCUGGCCAGACUGCCGUUGACAAAACGGAGGAAGGUGGGGAUGACGUCAAAUCAUCAUGCCCUUUAUGACUUGGGCUACACACGUACUACAAUGGCGUUAAACAAAGAGAAGCAAGACCGCGAGGUGGAGCAAAACUCAGAAACAACGUCCCAGUUCGGACUGCAGGCUGCAACUCGCCUGCACGAAGUCGGAAUUGCUAGUAAUCGUGGAUCAGCAUGCCACGGUGAAUACGUUCCCGGGCCUUGUACACAC